CCUGGCACGCCGGCCCUCCCCUCUCCUCCAGCCAUCUUCUCCUGUGAAUGGGCUUCUUCAGCCUGCUUGAGUUGACAGAAUCAUACGUGGCACCAAUUACCCCGGUCUGGGCCCGUCAGCUGGAGGAGAGCAGAGCCGGAGGAAGUCAAAAGGACGGCUGAGCGUCUCCUCUGUGGGGUCGGAGGCUGAUGCGCUGACGGGGACACACAUCUCUGAUCCGGAGAGUCACUGUGUGUGUGUGUGUGUGUGUGUGUCGCUGACAUUAAGCCGAUACGGAGGUCGACGUUACCACGUUAGCAUUGCCAUUUUUAGCUUUUAGCGUUGCCAUUCACAUAUACCUGUAACAUGUCAGACCGAACCCUACGAGAAAACAAGAGCAGAUUUGAAGUGUUGGAGAUUAUGGAAAUGUCUAAACUCAAACUGAUCAAAGUGCAAUGUUUGAAUUGGAUUCCGCCCUAACGUCCAUAAAC
Long non-coding RNA from Gasterosteus aculeatus aculeatus (three-spined stickleback), 470 nucleotides. The record is from Ensembl. Lineage: Eukaryota; Metazoa; Chordata; Actinopteri; Perciformes; Gasterosteidae.